ACACAUGCAAGUCGAACGGCAGCGCGGGGCAACCUGGCGGCGAGUGGCGAACGGGUGAGUAAUAUAUCGGAACGUACCCUGGAGUGGGGGAUAACGUAGCGAAAGUUACGCUAAUACCGCAUACGAUCUAAGGAUGAAAGUGGGGGAUCGCAAGACCUCAUGCUCCUGGAGCGGCCGAUAUCUGAUUAGCUAGUUGGUGGGGUAAAGGCCUACCAAGGCAUCGAUCAGUAGCUGGUCUGAGAGGACGACCAGCCACACUGGAACUGAGACACGGUCCAGACUCCUACGGGAGGCAGCAGUGGGGAAUUUUGGACAAUGGGCGAAAGCCUGAUCCAGCAAUGCCGCGUGAGUGAAGAAGGCCUUCGGGUUGUAAAGCUCUUUUGUCAGGGAAGAAACGGUGGNNGCUAAUAUCNNCUGCUAAUGACGGUACCUGAAGAAUAAGCACCGGCUAACUACGUGCCAGCAGCCGCGGUAAUACGUAGGGUGCAAGCGUUAAUCGGAAUUACUGGGCGUAAAGCGUGCGCAGGCGGUUUUGUAAGUCUGUCGUGAAAUCCCCGGGCUCAACCUGGGAAUUGCGAUGGAGACUGC
This 588-nucleotide ribosomal RNA is filed under the name unidentified microorganism. RNAcentral's name for it is "bacterial SSU rRNA". It matches the Rfam family "Bacterial small subunit ribosomal RNA", at positions 51 to 636 of the family's 1533-position model. The record is from RNAcentral.